RNAcentral lists this ribosomal RNA (515 nucleotides) under uncultured bacterium. RNAcentral describes it as "partial 16S ribosomal RNA". It matches the Rfam family "Bacterial small subunit ribosomal RNA", at positions 28 to 523 of the family's 1533-position model. The record is from RNAcentral.
GAUGAACGCUGGCGGCGUGCCUAAUACAUGCAAGUCGAGCGAAUGGAUUAAGAGCUUGCUCUUAUGAAGUUAGCGGCGGACGGGUGAGUAACACGUGGGUAACCUGCCCAUAAGACUGGUAUAACUCCGGGAAACCGGGGCUAAUACCGGAUAACAUUUUGAACCGCAUGGUUCGAAAUUGAAAGGCGGCUUCGGCUGUCACUUAUGGAUGGACCCGCGUCGCAUUAGCUAGUUGGUGAGGUAACGGCUCACCAAGGCAACGAUGCGUAGCCGAACUGAGAGGGUGAUCAGCCACACUGGGACUGAGACACGGCCCAGACUCCUACGGGAGGCAGCAGUAGGGAAUCUUCCGCAAUGGACGAAAGUCUGACGGAGCAACGCCGCGUGAGUGAUGAAGGCUUUCGGGUCGUAAAACUCUGUUGUUAGGGAAGAACAAGUGCUAGUUGAAUAAGCUGACACCUUGACGGUACCUAACCAGAAAGCCACGGCUACCUACGUGCCAGCAGCCGCGGUAA